This is a non-coding RNA of Delphinapterus leucas (beluga whale), 265 nucleotides long. NCBI's taxonomy places the organism in Eukaryota, Metazoa, Chordata, Mammalia, Artiodactyla, Monodontidae. The record is from RefSeq and is a predicted model, not a curated record.
AACUUCCUAUGCAAGGAGGUGGCCUACAGCUGUAUUUUAGAAAAAGAAAAAGAGACAUUUCUCCAUACAACGAGGCAAACUGUCCCAGAGGCCAUGCAAUAGAAAGCUCACAGACCAAGACAAACAAAGAUGGAAAACAUACUGUUUGUGUUCUCAAGAAAUUUACAAUCUAAUGAUGGGGGUCGAAUGCCCAGAAUGCUGGAAGAGAGGCAGAAAGUGGCCUCUCACUGUUGUGGCCUCUCCCGUUGCGGAGCACAGGCUCUGG